UUGAACGCUGGCGGCAUGCCUUACACAUGCAAGUCGAACGGUAACAGGUCUUCGGAUGCUGACGAGUGGCGAACGGGUGAGUAAUAUAUCGGAACGUGCCCAGUUGUGGGGGAUAACUACUCGAAAGAGUGGCUAAUACCGCAUACGACCUGAGGGUGAAAGCGGGGGAUCGCAAGACCUCGCGCAAUUGGAGCGGCCGAUAUCAGAUUAGGUAGUUGGUGGGGUAAAGGCCCACCAAGCCGACGAUCUGUAGCUGGUCUGAGAGGACGACCAGCCACACUGGGACUGAGACACGGCCCAGACUCCUACGGGAGGCAGCAGUGGGGAAUUUUGGACAAUGGGCGCAAGCCUGAUCCAGCAAUGCCGCGUGCAGGAAGAAGGCCUUCGGGUUGUAAACUGCUUUUGUACGGAGCGAAAAGGCUCUCUCUAAUACAGGGGGCUCAUGACGGUACCGUAAGAAUAAGCACCGGCUAACUACGU
RNAcentral lists this ribosomal RNA (480 nucleotides) under uncultured bacterium. RNAcentral describes it as "bacterial SSU rRNA". It matches the Rfam family "Bacterial small subunit ribosomal RNA", at positions 30 to 506 of the family's 1533-position model. The record is from RNAcentral.